UGCUUUGUUCGCUGUGGGUGUUGU
RNAcentral lists this non-coding RNA (24 nucleotides) under Rattus norvegicus (Norway rat). Lineage: Eukaryota; Metazoa; Chordata; Mammalia; Rodentia; Muridae. The record is from RNAcentral.